This 497-nucleotide ribosomal RNA is filed under the name uncultured bacterium. RNAcentral's name for it is "partial 16S ribosomal RNA". It matches the Rfam family "Bacterial small subunit ribosomal RNA", at positions 28 to 507 of the family's 1533-position model. The record is from RNAcentral.
GAUGAACGCUGGCGGCGUGCCUAAUACAUGCAAGUCGAGCGAACAGACGAGGAGCUUGCUCCUCUGACGUUAGCGGCGGACGGGUGAGUAACACGUGGAUAACCUACCUAUAAGACUGGGAUAACUUCGGGAAACCGGAGCUAAUACCGGAUAAUAUAUUGAACCGCAUGGUUCAAUAGUGAAAGACGGUUUUGCUGUCACUUAUAGAUGGAUCCGCGCCGCAUUAGCUAGUUGGUAAGGUAACGGCUUACCAAGGCAACAAUGCGUGGCCGACCUGAGAGGGUGAUCGGCCACACUGGAACUGAGACACGGUCCAGACUCCUACGGGAGGCAGCAGUAGGGAAUCUUCCGCAGUGGGCGAAAGCCUGACGGAGCAACGCCGCGUGAGUGAUGAAGGUCUUCGGAUCGUAAAACUCUGUUAUUAGGGAAGAACAAAUGUGUAAGUAACUAUGCACGUCUUGACGGUACCUAAUCAGAAAGCCACGGCUAACUACGUG